Molecule: ribosomal RNA, 492 nt
Filed under: uncultured bacterium
Lineage: Bacteria
Description: partial 16S ribosomal RNA
Rfam family: Bacterial small subunit ribosomal RNA
Source: RNAcentral
AGUGAACGCUGGCGGUAGGCCUAACACAUGCAAGUCGAACGGCAGCACAGUAAGAGCUUGCUCUUACGGGUGGCGAGUGGCGGACGGGUGAGGAAUACAUCGGAAUCUACUUUUUCGUGGGGGAUAACGUAGGGAAACUUACGCUAAUACCGCAUACGACCUACGGGUGAAAGCAGGGGAUCUUCGGACCUUGCGCGAUUGAAUGAGCCGAUGUCGGAUUAGCUAGUUGGCGGGGUAAAGGCCCACCAAGGCGACGAUCCGUAGCUGGUCUGAGAGGAUGAGCAGCCGCACGGGGAGUUAGCAGCGGCGCAGACUACGACGGGGAGCAGCAAUGGGGAAGAGUGAGCAAGGGGCUGGAGCUGUAUACAGCAGUAGGGGGUAAGAGAAGGAGGACUUCUGGUUGUAAAGCGCUUUUGUUGGAAAAGAAAAGCAGCAGGCUAAUACCCCGCUGUUAUGACGGUACCUAAAGAAUAAGCACAGGCUAACUUCGUG